CCUAGUAACGGCGAGUGAAGCGGCAACAGCUCAAAUUUGAAAUCUGGCCCUAGCGGUCCGAGUUGUAAUUUGUAGAGGAUGCUUUUGGUACGGUGCCUUCCGAGUUCCCUGGAACGGGACGCCAUAGAGGGUGAGAGCCCCGUCUGGUCGGAUACCAAUCCUCUGUAAAGCUCCUUCGACGAGUCGAGUAGUUUGGGAAUGCUGCUCAAAAUGGGAGGUAUAUGUCUUCUAAAGCUAAAUAUUGGCCAGAGACCGAUAGCGCACAAGUAGAGUGAUCGAAAGAUGAAAAGCACUUUGAAAAGAGGGUUAAAUAGUACGUGAAAUUGUUGAAAGGGAAGCGUUUGUGACCAGACUUGGGCUUGGUUAAUCAUCCGGCGUUCUCGCCGGUGCACUUUGCCAGCCCAGGCCAGCAUCAGUUCGCUGCGGGGGAAAAAGGUUUCGGGAACGUGGCUCCUCGGAGUGUUAUAGCCCGUUGCGUAAUACCCUGUAGUGGACUGAGGUUCGCGCAUCUGCAAGGAUGCUGGCGUAAUGGUCAUCAACGACCCGUCUUGAAACACGGACCAAGGAGUCGUCUUCGUAUGCGAGUGUUCGGGUGUUAAACCCCUACGCGUAAUGAAAGUGAACGGAGGUGGGAGCCUCGGCGCACCAUCGACCGAUCCUGAUGUUUUCGGAUGGAUUUGAGUAAGAGCAUACGGGGCCGGACCCGAAAGAAGGUGAACUAUGCCUGUAUAGGGUGAAGCCAGAGGAAACUCUGGUGGAGGCUCGCAGCGGUUCUGACGUGCAAAUCGAUCGUCAAAUAUGG
RNAcentral lists this ribosomal RNA (802 nucleotides) under Thyronectria caudata. RNAcentral describes it as "LSU rRNA". It matches the Rfam family "Eukaryotic large subunit ribosomal RNA", at positions 79 to 914 of the family's 3401-position model. The record is from RNAcentral. Lineage: Eukaryota; Fungi; Ascomycota; Sordariomycetes; Hypocreales; Nectriaceae.